GAUGAACGCUGGCGGCGUGCCUAAUACAUGCAAGUCGAGCGAACAGACGAGGAGCUUGCUCCUCUGACGUCAGCGGCGGACGGAUGAGUAACACGUGGAUAACCUACCUAUAAGUCUGGGAUAACUUCGGGAAACCGGAGCUAACACCUGAUAAUAUAUUGCACCGCAUGGUUCACUAGUGAAAGAAGGUUUUGCUGUCACUUAUAGAUGGAUCCGCGCCGCAUUAGCUAGUUGGUAAGGUAACGGCUUACCAAGGCAACGAUGCGUAGCCGACCUGAGAGGGUGAUCGGCCACACUGGAACUGAGACACGGUCCAGACUCCUACGGGAGGCAGCAGUAGGGAAUCUUCCGCAAUGGGCGAAAGCCUGACGGAGCAACGCCGCGUGAGUGAUGAAGGUCUUCGGAUCGUAAAACUCUGUUAUUAGGGAAGAACAAAUGUGUAAGUAACUAUGCACGUCUUGACGGUACCUAAUCAGAAAGCCACGGCUAACUACGUG
This 497-nucleotide ribosomal RNA is filed under the name uncultured bacterium. RNAcentral's name for it is "partial 16S ribosomal RNA". It matches the Rfam family "Bacterial small subunit ribosomal RNA", at positions 28 to 507 of the family's 1533-position model. The record is from RNAcentral.